CCUACGGGUGGCAGCAGUGAGGAAUAUUCGUCAAUGGACGCGAGUCUGAACCAGCCAAGCAGCGUGAAUGAUGACUGCCCUAUGGGCUUUAAACUUCUUUUAUAUGGGAAUAAAAUGUUCCACGUGUGGGAUUUUGUAUGUACCAUAUGAAUAAGGAUCGGCUAACUCCGUGCCAGCAGCCGCGGUAAUACGGAGGAUCCGAGCGUUGUUCGGAUUGAUUGGGUUUAAAGGGAGCGUAGGUGGAUUGUUAAGUCAGUUGUGAAAGUGUGCGGCUCAACCGUAAAAUUGCAGUUGAAACUGGCAGUCUUGAGUACAGUAGAGGUGGGCGGAAUUCGUGGUGUAGCGGUGAAAUGCUUAGAGAUCACGAAGAACUCCGGUUGCGAAGGCAGCUCACUGGACUGCAACUGACACUGAGGCUCGAAAGUGUGGGUAUCAAACAGGAUUAGAUACCCGGGUAGUC
RNAcentral lists this ribosomal RNA (460 nucleotides) under uncultured bacterium. RNAcentral's name for it is "partial 16S ribosomal RNA". It matches the Rfam family "Bacterial small subunit ribosomal RNA", at positions 338 to 795 of the family's 1533-position model. The record is from RNAcentral.